AAUUCAAAACGUUCAGUCAAGCCUGGUUUCAAUCGAUGCCACUUUGCCAAAGGACUCAUAAGCUCAGGAUGGUUUAUGAUGAAAGUAGGAUUCACACAAGUUUCUUCCAGAAAGUGCCCAACCAGUUUAUCCAAAAGACGAGCUGUUGUCUGUGGAGGAGGACACUUGACCUCAAACCUCCCACACACAUCAACUAGAUACUUGUUAGCUUCAUCACUGGAAAGGUCCUUUGGUAUGUUGAGGUUGGACAUCUUCUCUAAUUCCUCUAUCAUGUCAAUCCGUCUAAAAGGUGG
Molecule: unclassified non-coding RNA, 293 nt
Filed under: Hevea brasiliensis (rubber tree)
Lineage: Eukaryota; Viridiplantae; Streptophyta; Magnoliopsida; Malpighiales; Euphorbiaceae
Source: RNAcentral